GUACUUGCUUCUGCAGCACAUACACUAAAAUUAGAAUGAUACAGAGAAGAUUAGUAUGGCCCCUACAGAAGCAUGACACACAAAUUCGUGAAGCAUUCCAUAUCUUA
Molecule: small nuclear RNA, 107 nt
Organism: Nycticebus coucang (slow loris)
Lineage: Eukaryota; Metazoa; Chordata; Mammalia; Primates; Lorisidae
Source: RefSeq, a predicted model, not a curated record